GUGCUUGCUCUGGCAGCACAUACACUAAAAUCAGCAUGACAGAGAAGGAAGGUUACAUGGCUCCUGCACAGGAUGGAUACACAAAUUCGUGAAGCAUUCCAUAUUUUU
RNAcentral lists this small nuclear RNA (108 nucleotides) under Pongo abelii (Sumatran orangutan). The record is from RNAcentral. Lineage: Eukaryota; Metazoa; Chordata; Mammalia; Primates; Hominidae.